This 417-nucleotide ribosomal RNA is filed under the name uncultured bacterium. RNAcentral describes it as "bacterial SSU rRNA". It matches the Rfam family "Bacterial small subunit ribosomal RNA", at positions 55 to 475 of the family's 1533-position model. The record is from RNAcentral.
AUGCAAGUCGAGGGGUAACGGAAGUAGCUUGCUACUAGACGACGACCGGCGCACGGGUGAGUAACGCGUAUGUAAUCUGCCUUGUACAGAGGGAUAGCCCAGAGAAAUUUGGAUUAAUACCUCAUAGUAUUACUGAGUCGCAUGAUUUGGUAAUUAAAGCUCCGGCGGUACAAGAUGAACAUGCGUGACAUUAGCUAGUUGGUAAGGUAACGGCUUACCAAGGCUACGAUGUCUAGGGGUUCUGAGAGGAUGAUCCCCCACACUGGUACUGAGACACGGACCAGACUCCUACGGGAGGCAGCAGUGAGGAAUAUUGGUCAAUGGACGCAAGUCUGAACCAGCCAUCCCGCGUGAAGGAUGACUGCCCUAUGGGUUGUAAACUUCUUUUAUAUGCCAAUAAACCUACUUUCGUGAAAG